This is a long non-coding RNA of Perognathus longimembris pacificus (Pacific pocket mouse), 1053 nucleotides long. RefSeq lists it as uncharacterized. The transcript has 3 exons. The record is from RefSeq and is a predicted model, not a curated record. NCBI's taxonomy places the organism in Eukaryota, Metazoa, Chordata, Mammalia, Rodentia, Heteromyidae.
AAGCUGCAUCGCAGUCGUAAUUAUCGUGGUCCCCUGGUUUGCCUGGUCCUCAAAAAUGUCGUCAGCUGGUCGACACUAGUCAACCAUAAAGGCUCAGGCCCGUCCCGGGACUGAAGGAGUCUCAGGGCCCACGGAGUUCCGAUCAGGCCGGACUGGGCGGGGGUCCUACACGCCGCCGGCAGGAGCGGAGCGCUCGCACCCGACCCCCUGUGACCACUUCCCGGCGCCCCGCAGGGGCCGUGAGGAGCUCACACCGGGAGUCCCAGACUGAGACACCUCACGAGGGGUGCCGCGGACGCCGGAAGCAGUCCAGCCCGCCAGACUCGGGCGGCGCCCGGUCCCACGGCGCCCAUUCACCUGCCGAGGGAACUCAGCCCGGAAAUCCGCUUCUGCCGCGCUGCUGCGUGGGGCGGGACUUCCGGUCUCUCAAGGGAACCGGAAGCGGCUCUUUCCCGCCGGAAGGAGAGGGUUUUGCGGCCUCGGCGGGGGGGUCGCCCGGCCUCCAGUCUUUCCCUUUCUGUCAGCCAGCCAGGUGUCCCGCACCCGCCGCCCCUCUCGACCAAAGGCGCCCUCCUCGGAGGCAGGCCGGCGGCAGGCACAGAUCAAGUUCCCUAGAAGCAGAAAGCAGUUGUUCCCAGGUUCUGGUCACUCAGAGAUUACGGGAGCACAGCUCUUGUCUUUGAUCUGCUUACAGCCAGGUGGAGAAGACACAGUGGUGGCAGAACAGCCAUUUCAUUGUUGUAAAGCAGACUUGUCAACAAGUUUCCAGUGAGCAAUUCCAUGAGGUAAACCUUUUCCUCGCUGAAAUUUAGUUUCAUCAGAUUAUUCAUGGUUAUUUUAAGGAAUUGAGGUACCUUACUGGAAAAGUAAAAAGCUUUUGGGGGUUAUUUGUUCUGGACUUAAUUUUUCUUCUUGGAGAAGAUGGAGAGGCCCAGGCCGGCAGGCUGAGAACUACAGUGCUGCAAAGUAGUCUCUGGUUUCCUCUGACAGGAUUUUCAGGUCAAAGGUAAUUGUAAGUAGCUCUUUUCUUGCUAAAUAAAAGUAUUAUUAAAG